Molecule: ribosomal RNA, 453 nt
Filed under: uncultured organism
Description: partial 16S ribosomal RNA
Rfam family: Bacterial small subunit ribosomal RNA
Source: RNAcentral
ACGUACACUCCUACGGGAGGCAGCAGUGGGGAAUAUUGGACAAUGGGCGCAAGCCUGAUCCAGCCAUGCCGCGUGAGUGAUGAAGGCCCUAGGGUUGUAAAGCUCUUUCACCGGUGAAGAUAAUGACGGUAACCGGAGAAGAAGCCCCGGCUAACUUCGUGCCAGCAGCCGCGGUAAUACGAAGGGGGCUAGCGUUGUUCGGAUUUACUGGGCGUAAAGCGCACGUAGGCGGACUAUUAAGUCAGGGGUGAAAUCCCGGGGCUCAACCCCGGAACUGCCUUUGAUACUGGUAGUCUUGAGUUCGGGAGAGGUGAGUGGAAUUCCGAGUGUAGAGGUGAAAUUCGUAGAUAUUCGGAGGAACACCAGUGGCGAAGGCGGCUCACUGGCUCGAUACUGACGCUGAGGUGCGAAAGCGUGGGGAGCAAACAGGAUUAGAUACCCUUGUAGUCCCAU